Long non-coding RNA from Misgurnus anguillicaudatus (oriental weatherfish), 414 nucleotides. RefSeq lists it as uncharacterized. The record is from RefSeq and is a predicted model, not a curated record. NCBI's taxonomy places the organism in Eukaryota, Metazoa, Chordata, Actinopteri, Cypriniformes, Cobitidae.
CUGAAUUCACCUCAGUCCGCUUCAAACGGCAGGCGCGUGUUUGAGAAAGUUCAACGGUUUUUCCCCGCGCGACUGCAGUAGAAAUGAAAAAGAAACGACUCGGCUUCGACCAAAUACCAAACAUCAAAAAGUUAUGUCCUGGAAUAAUUAAAACUAGGAGUUUUGUCGACUGGAUUCAUGGAGGUGAUGUUCGCUGCGUUGCCAGAUGUGAGCUGGAAACAGCGUGUUUGGCCAAAUAAGCGACCGUGACUGAUGACCAGUGAAGCAGAUGCAAAUAAACACGACCGGGAGACACAGGAAACGAUCAUGUGUCUGAAACUGUGGAAAACCACCAAACAAUGACCGGCACGUGAUCGUUAAGUAAAAGCAUUAGUAUGCAGAGAUCUACACACAUUAAUAAAUAAUACAUACAUA